CUAAAGGUGUUGUUUAACACCACCUUAACUUUUAAGGACGCUCUAU
Molecule: non-coding RNA, 46 nt
Organism: Cavia porcellus (domestic guinea pig)
Lineage: Eukaryota; Metazoa; Chordata; Mammalia; Rodentia; Caviidae
Source: Rfam